GCCUUCCCCGCGCUCCCCGGCGCCCCCAGCCCGCUGACCCCCGGCCAGGCAGGCCCGCGGGGGAGGCAGGACCGGAGCCCUGAGGACCUGGCCGGCCUCGGGGUUGAGGCUCAGCUCGGGAUAAGUGAUCUUUGGGGCCCGCAGAGGACGUCUCCCCAAGACCCAGUGGCAACCGGGUGGCACGUACCUGCCUCUUCUUGGAGGAUGGACGAGUCGAACCGGGCACAAGCAUGGAGCUGCGGGUGAGUCCCGGCUGGCGCUGGCGCGGCGCAGUGAGCACCAGCUGACGAAGAGGGCUCCCCGGCCUCGGCUCCUGCCUGACUCUCUCCCACCUCCGCCGGGGGCCCAGAAGGGACCUCCCCGGGAAAUCGGCGCCACCCAGCGGGCAGCCGCCUCAUCGCGCCUGGGCCGGCAGAGCCACACCCCGCGUCUUGCGUCACUGAGUCGCGUCACGGCUAUUGGCUUGUUCCUAUUGUGGCGUCAUUAGAGCCCGGCCUCCGGCUGGGGCCACCCAGGCAACCGAUAUACACAGAGAACCACGUGGAGGAAAAGCACGCGAGUUUGGAGGGGGUGGAGCAGGAACAGAGGUGGACUGGAAUGUCACACGACGGGGCAGCUGGAAGGGCACCACUGAGUUCAGUACUUCAAAAUUGCCGUGCUCUACCUCUCCCCAGUGCACAGAAACACUCUCCACACCAAGCUGCUGCUGCUGGGGGAUGGAGGGAUGGCGUCAGCGAUUCAAGACUGUUUUUCCUACCUGUUCAGCACUUCUUUCAGCGAUAUGAAGUUAAAUCCAGGUCCCACCGACCCCAGCUCUUCCUUGUGCCGGGCAAAGAUGCCUCCUGUGGGUCUGCACAGGACAUGUUUCUCCUUGAGUGUGUUGGGGACAUUCCAGGCCUGAGAGUGUCCUGAGGCUGAGAGCCCCUGUUGAGCAGAAGAGAGCUGUUGGCCCUCUUGCCUGGCCAGGACUCUGAAGGACUCCAGCUCCAACAUUUUCUCACUAGUAAAUGAGAUGAUUUACUCUUGACUUGGGGUUUGUUUGUUUCACAUGUAAAGACACCUUCACAGCACGAAAGCUGCAGAUUCAGAGAGGGACAUCAGGUUGAGGAGGCGGGAGGGAUGUGUGUCACAGGUCCCCGGACGCUGUGUAGAUUUCUUGGUUGGCCAGUGAAAGUCCCCACAUCUCACGGAGAUCCCCAUGCCCUUCCCGAGGAAGCCUCUAGAUGUCAGAGAUGCAGACAUUGCGCGUCUCAGUGGAC
Molecule: long non-coding RNA, 1259 nt
Filed under: Pan troglodytes (chimpanzee)
Lineage: Eukaryota; Metazoa; Chordata; Mammalia; Primates; Hominidae
Description: long non-coding RNA NONPTRT002875
Source: RNAcentral